This 763-nucleotide ribosomal RNA is filed under the name uncultured Streptococcus sp. Its description in RNAcentral is "bacterial SSU rRNA". It matches the Rfam family "Bacterial small subunit ribosomal RNA", at positions 28 to 776 of the family's 1533-position model. Lineage: Bacteria; Bacillati; Bacillota; Bacilli; Lactobacillales; Streptococcaceae. The record is from RNAcentral.
GACGAACGCUGGCGGCGUGCCUAAUACAUGCAAGUAGAACGCUGAAAGAGGAGCUUGCUUCUCCGGAUGAGUUGCGAACGGGUGAGUAACGCGUAGGUAACCUGCCUGGUAGCGGGGGAUAACUAUUGGAAACGAUAGCUAAUACCGCAUAAUAGUAGAUGUUGCAUGACAUUUGCUUAAAAGGUGCAAUUGCAUCACUACCAGAUGGACCUGCGUUGUAUUAGCUAGUUGGUGGGGUAACGGCUCACCAAGGCGACGAUACAUAGCCGACCUGAGAGGGUGAUCGGCCACACUGGGACUGAGACACGGCCCAGACUCCUACGGGAGGCAGCAGUAGGGAAUCUUCGGCAAUGGACGGAAGUCUGACCGAGCAACGCCGCGUGAGUGAAGAAGGUUUUCGGAUCGUAAAGCUCUGUUGUAAGAGAAGAACGAGUGUGAGAGUGGAAAGUUCACACUGUGACGGUAUCUUACCAGAAAGGGACGGCUAACUACGUGCCAGCAGCCGCGGUAAUACGUAGGUCCCGAGCGUUGUCCGGAUUUAUUGGGCGUAAAGCGAGCGCAGGCGGUUAGAUAAGUCUGAAGUUAAAGGCUGUGGCUUAACCAUAGUACGCUUUGGAAACUGUUUAACUUGAGUGCAAGAGGGGAGAGUGGAAUUCCAUGUGUAGCGGUGAAAUGCGUAGAUAUAUGGAGGAACACCGGUGGCGAAAGCGGCUCUCUGGCUUGUAACUGACGCUGAGGCUCGAAAGCGUGGGGAGCAAACAGG